RNAcentral lists this long non-coding RNA (203 nucleotides) under Trifolium pratense (red clover). RNAcentral describes it as "long non-coding RNA (TPRA_LNC014084)". Lineage: Eukaryota; Viridiplantae; Streptophyta; Magnoliopsida; Fabales; Fabaceae. The record is from RNAcentral.
GGGACAUAAACUCAAUUAAGGGACAUAUAUUCAAUUUUGCAUCUAAGGCGUCUAGGGUCUUCUCCACUUACAUGUGAAGUUAUGAAGCAUUCACAUUGAAAUUGCAUUCAGACAAUUAAUUUUUGGGACAUCGUAGGACAUAAACUUAAUAGGGACAUAUAUUCAAUUUUGCAUCUAAGGCACCAAGGGUCUUCUCCAAUUAC